GUUUAAACCAUCUUUGAUUUUGUAGAUGCAUACAAGUAUGAGUUUUAAUUUGGCAGUACAUAUUAAUAUAUUACAUGUCAUUAUUCAUCAUUCAUUUUAGGUUGACAAAAAGAUUGUGUAACAGACAGCAAAGUUUCAACACUAAAAUUCCCACAAUGGUGAUGUACAACCAGUAUCAUGAAGAAACGUUCUGGACUCGAAGUUGAAUUCAUUUUCAAUCUCCGAUAAGCCAUCAGCUAUUUGUGCCAUGUCUAAAAUAUCAGAUUCUGCUCUCAAGUAGUCAAUUCCCCUGCUGCCAAAUUCUGGUGCAAAAUCAUCUUGUUUCACUUCCGUUUCUGAUUUUUUAUUCACAUCUUUCUCAUUGUCAUCCUUUUCCAUUAACUUUUUAAGUCUCUGCAGCUGGAUGAGGAGGGAUUCAUGCUCUUUUUUGAGUAAUUCAUACUUGGAACCUAAGUUGUCAUAACUGAUUUGAAGCAUUCUAUACUCCAAUUCAAGUUGCUUCGAUUUCGAUCUAGCUCUCUUGUUCUGAAACCAUAUAGCUACUUGUCUUGGCUGCAGUCCAAGCCUUUUAGCCAGUUGCUGUUUUGUCCUCAAUUCAGGCCUUGACUCUGUCUCAAACAUGUUUUCUAAUGACUUAAUCUGCUCAUCAUUGAACCUUCUUCUCAUGUUGUCGUUGCACUUACUUGACAUGAUUGAUUCACCCCAAAUCAUGUCUGAGUUUGUUGGAGCCAUUUUCAGUUCUGC
Molecule: unclassified non-coding RNA, 744 nt
Filed under: Hevea brasiliensis (rubber tree)
Lineage: Eukaryota; Viridiplantae; Streptophyta; Magnoliopsida; Malpighiales; Euphorbiaceae
Source: RNAcentral